AUUGAACGCAGGUGGCAGGUCUCUCAAAUGCCAGUUGGGCGGAUGCAGUGACUUUGCCUCUGGAUUCCGCGGCGGUCGGGUGUGUACUGCCUCGGAAACUGCCUGGUAGUGGGGGAUAUCGUACGGUAAUGGGCGCUAUUACCGUAUUCGUCCUGCGGGUGAACGUGGGGGAUCUUCGUAUCUCACGCUAUCAGAUGAGGCUAGGUCGGAUUAGCUAGUUGGUGGGGUAACGGCCUACCAAGGCGACGAUGCGUAACUGCUCCCAGAGGAGGAUCAGACACACUGGAACGGAGACACGGUGCAGACUCCUACGGGAGGCAGCAGUGGGGAAUAUUCGACGAGGGGCCAAAGCCUGAUCCAGCCAUGCCGCGUGAGUGCAGAAGGUCUUCGGAUUGUAAAGCACUUUAAGUUGGGAGGAAGGGCAGUAAGUUAAUACCUUGCUGUUUUGACGUUACCAACAGAAUAAGCACCGACUAACUUCGUG
This 484-nucleotide ribosomal RNA is filed under the name uncultured bacterium. RNAcentral's name for it is "partial 16S ribosomal RNA". It matches the Rfam family "Bacterial small subunit ribosomal RNA", at positions 30 to 507 of the family's 1533-position model. The record is from RNAcentral.